GCGAAUUAUAUCGGAGGUCUUCGGGCCGAAGAGAUAAUAAGCUAGUGGCGGACGGGUGCGUAACGUGUGGGUAAUCUGCCUUUGUCAUAGGAAUAACUGCUUGAAAAAGUAGCUAAUACCAAAUAACAUAUCGUAUAGGCAUCUAUAAGAUAUCAAAGAGAAAUCGGACAAAGAUGAGCCCGCAUCUGAUUAGCUAGUUGGUAGGGUAAAAGCCUACCAAGGCGACGAUCAGUAGCCGGCCUGAGAGGGUGAACGGCCACAUUGGAACUGAGACACGGUCCAAACUCCUACGGGAGGCAGCAGUGGGGAAUAUUGCACAAUGGGGGGAACCCUGAUGCAGCAACGCCGCGUGAGUGAAGAAGGCUUUCGAGUCGUAAAACUCUGUUGUAAGGGAAGAUAAUGACGGACCUAAAAGAAG
RNAcentral lists this ribosomal RNA (418 nucleotides) under Filifactor villosus. Its description in RNAcentral is "bacterial SSU rRNA". It matches the Rfam family "Bacterial small subunit ribosomal RNA", at positions 57 to 465 of the family's 1533-position model. The record is from RNAcentral. Lineage: Bacteria; Bacillati; Bacillota; Clostridia; Peptostreptococcales; Filifactoraceae.